RNAcentral lists this long non-coding RNA (292 nucleotides) under Mytilus galloprovincialis (Mediterranean mussel). The record is from RNAcentral. Lineage: Eukaryota; Metazoa; Mollusca; Bivalvia; Mytilida; Mytilidae.
UGUCCUGUACCAAGUCAGGAAUAUGGCCAUUGUUAUAUUAUAGUUCGUUUCUGUAUGUGUUACAUUUUAACGUUGCGUCGUUUGUUUUCUCUUAUUUUUAAGUGUAAAUUCACAUUGCGAUAAGACGUGUCACGGUACUUGUCUAUCCAAAAUUCAUGUAUUUGGUUUUGAUGUUAUAUUUGUUAUUUCUCGUGGGAUUUUGUCUGUUGCUUGGUCCGUUUCUGUGUGUGUUACAUUGUAGUGUUGUGUCGUUGUUCUCCUCUUAUAUUUAAUGCGUUUCCCUCAGUUUUAG